Molecule: ribosomal RNA, 254 nt
Filed under: uncultured bacterium
Lineage: Bacteria
Description: partial 16S ribosomal RNA
Rfam family: Bacterial small subunit ribosomal RNA
Source: RNAcentral
UACGAAGGGGGCUAGCGUUGUUCGGAUUUACUGGGCGUAAAGCGCACGUAGGCGGUUUUGUUAAGUGAGAGGUGAAAUCCCAGAGCUCAACUCUGGAACUGCCUUUCAUACUGGCAAGCUAGAGUCCGGAAGAGGUAAGUGGAACUCCUAGUGUAGAGGUGGAAUUCGUAGAUAUUAGGAAGAACACCAGUGGCGAAGGCGGCUUACUGGUCCGGAACUGACGCUGAGGUGCGAAAGCGUGGGGAGCAAACAGG